Molecule: unclassified non-coding RNA, 345 nt
Filed under: soil metagenome
Description: partial contains 5.8S ribosomal RNA, internal transcribed spacer 2, and large subunit ribosomal RNA
Rfam family: 5.8S ribosomal RNA (bases 1-120)
Source: RNAcentral
GAUGAAGAACGCAGUGAAAUGCGAUACGUAAUGUGAAUUGCAGAAUUCAGUGAAUCAUCGAGUCUUUGAACGCACAUUGCGCCCUCUGGUAUUCCGGAGGGCAUGCCUGUCCGAGCGUCAUUGCUGCCCUCAAGCACGGCUUGUGUGUUGGGCUCCGUCCCCCGAUCCCGGGGGACGGGCCCGAAAGGCAGCGGCGGCACCGCGUCCGGUCCUCGAGCGUAUGGGGCUUUGUCACCCGCUCUGUAGGCCCGGCCGGCGCUUGCCGAUCAACCAAAUUUUUAUCUAGGUUGACCUCGGAUCAGGUAGGGAUACCCGCUGAACUUAAGCAUAUCAAUAAGCGGAGGA